This 405-nucleotide long non-coding RNA is filed under the name Struthio camelus australis. RNAcentral describes it as "lncRNA (ENSSCUG00000014568.1)". Lineage: Eukaryota; Metazoa; Chordata; Aves; Struthioniformes; Struthionidae. The record is from RNAcentral.
CUUGGUAGGGAAGAGUAAUACUGUGGCAGAAACAAUGAACCGAUGAAGGAGAGCCAGUCCUACAGUUGCAGAGGAAGGCCGGACAUGCUGCUCAAUGGAUUGGAGACUCUUUCAAAAAGGCUACUACUGCAUGUCAGCUGAUAAGAUGUCCUGCACUGCACUGCACUGGGAUGGGCUCCCACCUGGUGGUGAUUGAUACAGAAGCAGAGCAGACCCUGCUCCUUAUGGAUAGCUGGCAACCUUGAUAAAGUUAAAAAAAAAACAAACAGUAAGUGUUGAUCCUUUUCUUUCCUUGAAGCUAUCUUUUGAGUGACCAGUCCCAACCCUAGCCAACUCACAUCCUAUGCAUGACAGUAUGGUACUAGAAAGAUGUGAACAAAUGCUGCUUAACAGGCAUGUAAGUGG